ACGAUGCUGGCCAUUUACGGUCAGGGCUAACUGUUGCCUGAAGAAGGGGAAG
Molecule: non-coding RNA, 52 nt
Organism: Salmonella enterica subsp. enterica serovar Bareilly
Lineage: Bacteria; Pseudomonadati; Pseudomonadota; Gammaproteobacteria; Enterobacterales; Enterobacteriaceae
Source: Rfam